GACGAACGCUGGCGGCGUGCUUAACACAUGCAAGUCGAACGGAAAGGCCCUGCUUUUGUGGGGUGCUCGAGUGGCGAACGGGUGAGUAACACGUAAGUAACCUGCCCUUGACUUUGGGAUAACUUCAGGAAACUGGGGCUAAUAUCGUAUAGGAGAUCCCGCUGCAUGGUGGGGGGUGGAAAUUUUCGGCGGGUGUGGUUGGACUCGCGGCUUACCGACUUGUUGGUGGGGUAGUGGCUUACCAAGGCUUUGGCCGGUAGCCGGCCUGGGAGGGUGACCGGCCACAUUGGGCCUGAGAUAGGGCCCAGACUCCUACAGGAGACAGCAGUGGCGAAUAUUACACAAUGGGCGGAAGCGUGAGGCAGCAACGCCGCGUGCGGGAUGACGGCCUUCUGGUUGUAAACCGCUUUCGCCUGUGACGACGCGUGAGUGACGGUAAUGGGUAAAGAAGCACCGGCUAACUACGUG
This 468-nucleotide ribosomal RNA is filed under the name uncultured bacterium. RNAcentral's name for it is "partial 16S ribosomal RNA". It matches the Rfam family "Bacterial small subunit ribosomal RNA", at positions 28 to 507 of the family's 1533-position model. The record is from RNAcentral.